This 1346-nucleotide ribosomal RNA is filed under the name uncultured bacterium. RNAcentral describes it as "bacterial SSU rRNA". It matches the Rfam family "Bacterial small subunit ribosomal RNA", at positions 28 to 1381 of the family's 1533-position model. The record is from RNAcentral.
GACGAACGCUGGCGGCGUGCUUAACACAUGCAAGUCGAACGAUGAAGCCUAGCUUGCUAGGUGGAUUAGUGGCGAACGGGUGAGUAAUACGUGAGUGACCUACCUUUGACUCUGGGAUAAGCCUGGGAAACUGGGUCUAAUACCGGAUAUGACCAAUCUCCGCAUGGGGUGUUGGUGGAAAGCGUUAUGGAGUGGUUUUAGAUGGGCUCACGGCCUAUCAGCUUGUUGGUGAGGUAAUGGCUUACCAAGGCGACGACGGGUAGCCGGCCUGAGAGGGUGACCGGCCACACUGGGACUGAGACACGGCCCAGACUCCUACGGGAGGCAGCAGUGGGGAAUAUUGCACAAUGGGCGCAAGCCUGAUGCAGCGACGCCGCGUGAGGGAUGACGGCCUUCGGGUUGUAAACCUCUGUUAGCAUCGAAGAAGCGAAAGUGACGGUAGGUGCAGAGAAAGCGCCGGCUAACUACGUGCCAGCAGCCGCGGUAAUACGUAGGGCGCGAGCGUUGUCCGGAAUUAUUGGGCGUAAAGAGCUUGUAGGCGGUUGGUCGCGUCUGCUGUGAAGGCUGGGGCUUAACCCUGGUUUUGCAGUGGGUACGGGCUAACUAGAGUGCAGUAGGGGAGACUGGAAUUCCUGGUGUAGCGGUGGAAUGCGCAGAUAUCAGGAGGAACACCGAUGGCGAAGGCAGGUCUCUGGGCUGUAACUGACGCUGAGAAGCGAAAGCAUGGGGAGCGAACAGGAUUAGAUACCCUGGUAGCCCAUGCCGUAAACGUUGGGCACUAGGUGUGGGGGACAUUCCACGUUUUCCGCGCCGUAGCUAACGCAUUAAGUGCCCCGCCUGGGGAGUACGGCCGCAAGGCUAAAACUCAAAGAAAUUGACGGGGGCCCGCACAAGCGGCGGAGCAUGCGGAUUAAUUCGAUGCAACGCGAAGAACCUUACCAAGGCUUGACAUAUACUGGACUGCGUCAGAGAUGGCGUUUCCCUUCGGGGCUGGUAUACAGGUGGUGCAUGGUUGUCGUCAGCUCGUGUCGUGAGAUGUUGGGUUAAGUCCCGCAACGAGCGCAACCCUCGUUCUAUGUUGCCAGCACGUGAUGGUGGGGACUCAUAGGAGACUGCCGGGGUCAACUCGGAGGAAGGUGGGGAUGACGUCAAAUCAUCAUGCCCCUUAUGUCUUGGGCUUCACGCAUGCUACAAUGGGCGGUACAGAAGGUUGCGAUACUGUGAAGUGGAGCUAAUCCCUAAAAGCCGGUCUCAGUUCGGAAUGGGGUCUGCAACUCCGACCCCUGAAGUCCGAGUCCCUAGUAAUCCCAAAUCAGCAACCCUGCCGUGAAUACGUUCCCGGGCCU